This 2387-nucleotide long non-coding RNA is filed under the name Sus scrofa (pig). RNAcentral's name for it is "lncRNA (ENSSSCG00040056751.1)". Lineage: Eukaryota; Metazoa; Chordata; Mammalia; Artiodactyla; Suidae. The record is from RNAcentral.
GCCCUGCUCCCCAACGCUCACAUCUGUCUCCCCUGCAGCUCUCUUCUUCCUGCUGUUCCCGUGCCUGCAUGGACGGCACCCUCCCUCCAGAGGUGAGCAUGGGUGUGGGGGACAGGGAACUGUGACCUCUCCGGGGUGGGGGGGCAGGGCUGAGGGCACCCCCGCCCCCACCGGCUUCCACCUCCACGCUCCUGCUCAGCUGAAACGCCAGCUGAGUGUGGAAUUCUGACCCGCCUCCCAUCCCUGGGUUCUGGGGUAGAUUCUGUGAGGAUUCCCCAAGCCAGCCCCUUGCACUGACAAUGGGUGAUGGGGGGGGCAGGGAGGGCUUCUUGGGAGGGAGCAGAAAUGGGGCAUCUGCUGGACUGGGAGGAAGAAGGGGAGUCAAGAGCCAAAGGAGUCUGGGAGCUCCCGUCAUGGCUCAGCAGGUUAAGAACCCAACCAGUAUCCAUGAGGAUGUGGCUUCAAUCCCUGGCCUUGCUCAGUAGGUUAAGGAUCCGGCAUUGCUGUGAGCUGUGGUGUAGGUCACGGAUAUGGCUCAGAUCUGGCAUUGCUAUAGCUGUGGUGUAGGCUGGCAGCUGUAGCUCCGACUGGACCCCUAGCCAAAACAACAACAAAAAAGCCAAAGGAGUCCCAUCCCACCACAGACCCAGCUGGCCAAGCUUUAUCAAUUACCCCUUAUUUCAACCCCACGACCUGAUGGCCACGUUCAGUCUGGGUGACACCCCCAAAAAGCCGAUGAUUCCAUUUUAUUUUUUAUUUAUUUUUGGCUGGAGCAUGCAGCCGCUUGAGGUGGGAUCUCUGUACCCAGGCCAGGGAUUGAACCCAGGGUCACAGCCGUGAAGGUGCUGGAGCCUACCCUCUAGACCACUAGGGAACCCCCCAGAGAACCCCACUUUGGAGCUCGGAAAAGUGUGGCUCAGAGGGGUGAGGUGCCUGAGAUGAGGAGGAGAAGGGAGCUUAAUCCGUGACCCAGCAAGCCUCCUCCAUUUUUUUUUUCCAAUUUUUCUUCGCUUUUUAGGGCCACACCUGCAGCAUAUGGAGGGUCCCAGAAAGCAAAAAAAACCCACAAGGAGAUACCACUCCCACCCACUAGGGGAUGCCUAUCGUCCCAGAGUCGGGUGACAAGCGCGCUGGCAAGGAUGUGGGGAAAUCGGGAAAUCAGCACACUUAGAUGCUGCUGAUGGGGCGGAAAACGGGGCACUGUCCGGAACAGGCCAGUCUAGAGACAGUGAGCAGGCUGCUGGCUGCCCAGGGCCGGGGCGGGAGGUUCGAGGAAAUGCGGAACAACUGCUAAUGGCCGUGGGGUUUCCUCGUAGGCUGAUGAACGGGUUCUCAGCCUGUGGUGCUGACUGCGGAACCCUGCGAAUCUACUAAAAACCACUGCCUUAUACCCUUGACAUGGGUGAAUUGUAGGAUAUGUGAACUUUAUUUUAAUGAAGGUAUUUAAAUAAAAAAAAAAAACCCAAGACGAAUGGAUGCAAGGGAGAUAAGGACCCUGAGCAGGGUGUGGGCAGAGGCCCCCCAUUUCCCCCGCCCAGGACCUCACGCCCAGCCAUGUCAGCCCUGCAGGCUCAGUGCUGGUGGUGGUGACAAAGGAGCGGUGGCAGCUCUGUGGCCGCGUGGCGCUGGACCCCAAGGACCACAAGUGGAGCUGCUGCAGAGAGGUCUACCCUUUCCACCACCCCACCCAGAGGUGCUGCCAGACUUAGGGGAAGGUCGUGGUCAUCCCUGCCGACCUGGAAAAGUCAGAGGCUGAAGGCUGCAGGACCUACCCCCUGGAAACUCUGGGUGAGUCCUGGCCCCACGGGCAGCUUCCUCCUCUGCUCUGGGGGGCGGGGGGAGGUCACAGAGACCUUUUUCUCUCUCCUUUCUUCCCGGGAGCUCUGGCCUUCACGGGGGCCUUGUCUGCUACCAGAUAGCGGGUCUGUGCCAGAAACUUAGUUGCAUUCCCGCUUCCCACUGUGUGACCUUGGACAAGUGUCCUGCCCACUCUGGGCCAAAUCUGCCUGUCACCAAGUAAAGGGUAUGCACAAGAACUUCUCUCCAAACAGAAGGAGUCUGGAGCUUUCCAAGUCAUUCUUCUCUCUGUAGAUCACAGAAUAAAAUGAAGAAUGGUGAUAAGAUUCAUGUGUGUUUGCAGGCAAAGCUGUCCUUCAUUCAUUUUCUUUUUUUUUUUUUUUAUUACCGUAUCUGAGAUGUAGGGAAGUUCUCAGGCCGGGGACUGAACCUGAGCUACAGCUGUGACCUACACUGUGCGGCAAUGCAGGAUCCUUUAACCCACUGCCCUGGGCCCCUGGACCGGGGAUCAAACCUGUGCCGCCAGUGACCCGAAAAGCUGUGGUUGGGUUUGUUUGUUUUGCUUUUUAGGGCUGUUCCCAGACUAGGGG